AUUAAUGGUUGUCUUGCACUACAAGGGUCUUCACUUGCAAGUUUUAACACAGCAUACACCCAUGUGUAGUGGAAGGCAGUAUCGGCAUGGGAAAGAAACCCAGGGCCACACACCAUAAAUGAUUGAGCACAUGACAACUGAUGCAUUUAUCAAGGCAUUGUGACAUUCAUUGUCAUAAAAGGAAAUUUCGAACUGUUAACAUUGUGACCAAGGUACCAAUUUUAUUGGUGGAAGAAUGAGUUUGCCGAUCUCAUGAAGGGACUGAAGCAAAAAACCAUUAAGGCUCUUGAAUGUGAACUCCUUAUGAGCCCACCAGCAGAGAGUCACAUGGACAUUGUCUAGGAGAGACAGAUUUUUCAUAGUCUUGCCACAGCUGUUCUCGACCACUCUGCACAAAGGCUUGA
Molecule: long non-coding RNA, 404 nt
Organism: Syngnathoides biaculeatus (alligator pipefish)
Lineage: Eukaryota; Metazoa; Chordata; Actinopteri; Syngnathiformes; Syngnathidae
Exons: 3
Source: RefSeq, a predicted model, not a curated record